GGAAAUUAAGAGAGAGCAAGUACACUCCAGUCAACAUAGUCUUUUUUGGAUACAUCACACCAUUACCUUGGGGCCUUCUGUUUUCCGGCUCCUAGGGCAGUGAAGCUCAGCUGGUUCCAGCACCCAGAAGGAAGCUCCCCGCCUCCAUCCCAGGCUCCUAGGGCAGAGGGGGUGAGCUGGUCCCAGCACCCAGAAGGAAGCUCCCUGCCUCCAUCCCAGGCUCCUAGGGCAGUGAAGCUCAGCUGGUCCCAGCACCCGGAAGGAAGCUCCCCUGCUGCCAUCCCAAGCUCCUAGGGCACAGAAGGUGAGCCGCGUGGGCGCCAGAAGCACCCCCCCACCCGUGGAAAUGAGAAGACACAUAAACAAGCCUCAAAAACAGACUUCAAUAUCAUCUACAGCAGCCCCAAAGGGAAAUGAGAUGGAACACUCUGAUACCCAACCACCUGGACUCUCUGAACUGGCAACAAAAGAGGAUCUGGGAAAAAUGAAAUCAGAAAUAAUUACUCAGAUAACAGCAAAGGUUUUGCUCAUGGUGCAAGACAUGAUUAAUAAAUCUAGAGAGGACACAGAUAAAAAAAAUAGAGGAUCUGAGGAAUAUGAUGGAAUCCCAACAUAGGAAACAAAUAGAGUCCAUGAAACAGAUACAAACAGAUUUCCAAGAGAUUAAAAAACUCCAUCAAAAGUCUGCGCAGCAGAAUGAACCAAUGUAAGGAUGGAAUUUCAGAUAUAGAAGAUAAGAUUGCAAUUAGUGAGGAGGAAAAGAAAAAUUGCUUUAAAAUUGUGAGGGAACAUGAGAAAUCAAUCCAGCAGCUGCUAGACAAUGCAAAGAAGAA
This is a long non-coding RNA of Heterocephalus glaber (naked mole-rat), 833 nucleotides long. NCBI's taxonomy places the organism in Eukaryota, Metazoa, Chordata, Mammalia, Rodentia, Bathyergidae. The record is from Ensembl.